Molecule: non-coding RNA, 3468 nt
Organism: Phoenix dactylifera (date palm)
Lineage: Eukaryota; Viridiplantae; Streptophyta; Magnoliopsida; Arecales; Arecaceae
Source: RefSeq, a predicted model, not a curated record
CCCAAGAUCUACCCAGCGAAUAACCGAUGUGGGACUAAACACACGCCCGCAUGGGUCCUCACAGUAGGUGAGUCCGGCAACCAAUCCCUUUGGACAGAGUAACAGCUGAAAAGGUAUGAAUUCAGAUAGUAUCAAGUUUCAUGGAUGCGUUUUCUGCCCUCCUGCUUGUGAGGUCACCCAUUAAACUAUUAUCUACCAAAGUCAUCACGUCUCCAUUCACUGCAAUAGCCCAGAAUGACAGAUGCUCAGCUGUAAAUUAUUUUUUUCAAGAACAAUAAAUCUUGUUCCAGUGGUCAAACUUGGACCAAAGUUAUGUUUGGAUGGGGUUGUUACACAUUGGGUAAAAUGGUGAGAAAGAAACGAAGUGUCCUACUACCCUUACAAGUGAUUUACAGCAAGGAAGAGUUAUGAAGAUCUCAAAAGAAUGACAAUGCUCUGCUGUGAGAGAGAACACUGCAGACCGAGGGAAGAGUUAUGUAGCUGGUCCAUAAGAACACCAUCUUAGAAGGCAAUUGCUAGACUAGUAAUUUUGAUGCUCUCUAUUCAGAACUAGAUGAUAACAAAAGUGAUGUGCCAUCUUAUAAAUAGAACCUAUUCAUUGAUAAGAGGUUUCAUGUUUUCUUUUGCCAGCUGCCAGGUUCUCUUCAGGGUAAGAAAUCUUUUAUGGAUUGAAUAAAUCUAUUGUACUUCUCCCUCUUUCAUAGCAUAUAUUUUCAUGAUUUGGGUGCUUACUUUUUUCCAAUUCUAUUCUUGUUUGGAUUUUUUAAAUUUAUAUGGUAGGGUGCUGUAAUUUCUACGAUAUACUUGAUGAAGUAUGGAACACCUUUUUCUCUAUUGAAACGGUACUUGUAAGUUUUACCAACUGUUUUCAUAUUAUAUCAGGGUGCAAAAUUCAUCUUGAAAGUUGUCAUCUUUGCGAAAUUGUAUGACUGGAAAAGGGACCAAUAAGACACUUAGGUUGAUAUUUCAUUGGAUGGAAAAUGCCAUGAACUCAGUGGCCACUUUCGCUCUCUUCGUUCUCAUUUUUAUAGCAAUACCUUGCAAAUAGAAUGCCUACUAAUCUGAUUAAAACUAAAAUAAAUAUGUAGAUUCUUAAAAAGUCAAAUUUGAACUUAAGAAAAUGAAACAAUGUCAUUAGCAAGGUUCGCCGUCUCGGUGCCAGACCCCGUACCGGUGCCACACUAGCACAGUGUUGCUACGGUAUGAUACGAAAUUUUUUUGGCAUAUCGAGUGUCGGUACGCCACCCAUACCAGAUACUGGUACAGAACUGGUUUGGUACGGUAUGCCUCGUACUGCCCGGUUCGGGCCGGUAUGGUGUACCAUGGUCAUCACCAUAUCAAUCCAGCCUAUGUUUGGUGGGUUUGGGUUGUAUAUUUUAGGUGAAAGAAUGAUUCACCUUCUUUCGCAACAUCAACCGUUCAUUUUGCGUAAAAGAUACAACCCGAACCUAUAUUUAGUAAUGCUAUAUGAACUAAUAAUUUCAUCAAUGUUGCAAACCUAGCUAUCACUCUAGAUAUGAAUACCUUACGAUUGCAAAGAGAAUGUCCGUCCAGCUGGUUAUAACAUCAAACACCAAACAUUGAAAGGUAACACCAAGGUUUUGCUGACAACACAUUGCUUCAUAGCUUGGAAAAUUUGAGCUUGGGCAGCUCAUUCAUAGAUCUGACCAUCUAAUAUGAUCUGAUUAUGGCCUUCCUACUCUCAACUUCUAACUUGUUUCUAAAAGUAAGAUGAAAAAUUACCAAAACAUGAGUAUAGUUAAUUGCAAACGCAUCUAUGUAUGUGACUCAAGACACAAAUCAAUCUUUGCUUGGACUUAUGCCACUAGGUGAGAUCAUUCUUAGAUGACUUAUGUCGCUUUGAGGGACAGCUCAUCCUUGUUUCCUUAUGUUUAAGUAAUGUUAUGUAAAUUGAAGUUGAAUAGAAUAUUCUAUGCUGCCCAUUCAUAGUGAAAGACUACAAGCUGUGGGACAUCAUUCUUAGCUACUUGAUUGUUUCAAACCCUUUGCUCAUUGCAUGAAAAGGCUUCUGUUUCUUCUGAUUAAGUACUUAUUAUAUUGAGAGCAAGGAGAAAACUUCCAUUGACUAAGAAUUACAAAUUAUUGAUGCUAAUGAGAAAGCUGAAGUAGGUUCAAAAGCCAUAAAGUUGACCAUCAAAAUAAUAUUAUUUAAUAAUCCAACUCAUCCAACCACAUCAACAGAAUAGACAAACUAGUUGCACGGUUGUGGUCUGUUUCUUAUGAUAUUUUCCCUCGAAUUAUGUAUCAUCACAUUAGUGUGACGUUCUUAGAAAUUUUAGUUAAAACUUUAAUUCUGCUUAUUUGUGCAUCCUCUUUUCUCUUAUACAGAAGCUUAUUACCGUGGUUUGCUAUACCGCCUUGUAUCGGCCGAUAUAGAGUUUACCAUAUCGCCCGGUACGAAGUGUACUAUAUGGACCAGGAGAAAACAAGUACAAAACUCAAGUUCGGAUUAGGACAAGCCUUAUACCACCCCAUACCGUGCCGUUUCAAUCCGUACUGAGGUGUACGACUUUGUAUCAAGGUUUGUAUUGAUCUGUAUCGAGACGUACCAAACGGUAUCGAGGUGUGGACCAGGAGAAAACAAGUACAAAACUCAACUUCGGAUUAGGACAAGCCCUAUACCACCCCAUACCGUGCCGUUUCAAUCCUUACUGAGGUGUACGACUUUGUAUCAAGGUUUGUAUUGAUCUGUAUCGAGACGUACCAAACCGUAUCAAGGUGUAGCAAAAUAAAAAUUCAGAAAAAUAAAUAGAGGGCAAUUUUAAUAUAAGUUGCGUAUCGUACCAUACCGACCAUACUGAAUAAUAUGGUAUCAAUGCGAUAUCUGGAAUUGAGAUUGAGGACCUUAAUUAUUAUAGUAUAUUAUGUUUAAAAGUGAUACUGUAACCAACAUUCAAACAAAUGAAAGAUUUUUCAAUAAAGAAAUUUCUCCUCCAAGAAGCAAUUAAUUAUUUUAAUUGUGUGAUAGAUAGAGGAUGAAUUAACUGAUUUACAUAUUGAUAUUUGAUUGAAUAUUCCAAAUUCUAUAGAAUCCUCUUACUAGCUUGAGAGAAUCUUUUUUUUCUUUUCCCAGGUUAUGCGAUCCUUUCCAUAUAAUCCAAUGAUUCCAAAGGAAGACCCAUGUAAUGGUGCCCUUCAAGAUAAGGAUUGGCAUACAAUUCUUCAGGCUAUUCUCAACUGACAGAACAGGCGACUCUGUUUGUGAGAGAUGCUGAACUAAAAUCUUGUUGGCAUUGCUGCUGCUGCGGCUGCUGUUGAUGAUAAGUUGGUUGAACAUGGGUGAACAGUUUGAACUUGUUCAAAACUUGGCAUAUCAGGGUGUUUUUCGUACAUGGUAACACCGAAAAGAUAUGAAUUCAGCUAGUAUCAAGUUUCAUGGAUGUGUUUUCUGCCCUCCUGCUUGCAUUGUCGCCUAUUAAAAUAUUGUCAACCAAAAAAUUUUCCAAA